UUUUUGUGACUGAGUGGCGGACGGGUGAGUAACGCGUGGGUAACCUGCCUCAUACAGGGGGAUAACAGUUGGAAACGACUGCUAAUACCGCAUAAGCGCACAGGAUUGCAUGAUCCAGUGUGAAAAACUCCGGUGGUAUGAGAUGGACCCGCGUCUGAUUAGCCAGUUGGCGGGGUAACGGCCCACCAAAGCGACGAUCAGUAGCCGACCUGAGAGGAUGUACGGCCACAUUGGGACUGAGACACGGCCCAGACUCCUACGGGAGGCAGCAGUGGGGAAUAUUGCACAAUGGAGGAAACCCUGAUGCAGCGACGCCGCGUGGAGGAAGAAGGUUUUCGGAUUGUAAACUCCUGUCGUUAGGGACGAUAAUGACGGUACCUAACAAGAAAGCACCGGCUAACUACGUGCCAGCAGCCGCGGUAAAACGUAGGGUGCAAGCGUUGUCCGGAAUUACUGGGUGUAAAGGGAGCGCAGGCGGACCGGCAAGUUGGAAGUGAAAACUAUGGGCUCAACCCAUAAAUUGCUUUCAAAACUGCUGGCCUUGAGUAGUGCAGAGGUAGGUGGAAUUCCCGGUGUAGCGGUGGAAUGCGUAGAUAUCGGGAGGAACACCAGUGGCGAAGGCGACCUACUGGGCACCAACUGACGCUGAGGCUCGAAAGCAUGGGUAGCAAACAGGAUUAGAUACCCUGGUAGUCCAUGCCGUAAACGAUGAUUACUAGGUGUUGGAGGAUUGACCCCUUCAGUGCCGCAGUUAACACAAUAAGUAAUCCACCUGGGGAGUACGACCGCAAGGUUGAAACUCAAAGGAAUUGACGGGGGCCCGCACAAGCAGUGGAGUAUGUGGUUUAAUUCGAAGCAACGCGAAGAACCUUACCAGGUCUUGACAUCCGAUGCAUAGUGCAGAGAUGCAUGAAGUCCUUCGGGACAUCGAGACAGGUGGUGCAUGGUUGUCGUCAGCUCGUGUCGUGAGAUGUUGGGUUAAGUCCCGCAACGAGCGCAACCCUUGCUAUUAGUUGCUACGCAAGAGCACUCUAAUAGGACUGCCGUUGACAAAACGGAGGAAGGUGGGGACGACGUCAAAUCAUCAUGCCCCUUAUGACCUGGGCUACACACGUACUACAAUGGACAUUAACAGAGGGAAGCAAUACAGUGAUGUGGAGCAAACCCCUAAAAAUGUUCUCAGUUCAGAUUGCAGGCUGCAACCCGCCUGUAUGAAGAUGGAAUUGCUAGUAAUCGCAGAUCAGCAUGCUGCGGUGAAUACGUUCCCGGGCCUUGCACUCACCGCCCGUCA
This 1291-nucleotide ribosomal RNA is filed under the name uncultured bacterium. RNAcentral's name for it is "bacterial SSU rRNA". It matches the Rfam family "Bacterial small subunit ribosomal RNA", at positions 82 to 1399 of the family's 1533-position model. The record is from RNAcentral.